Molecule: small nuclear RNA, 105 nt
Organism: Ursus americanus (American black bear)
Lineage: Eukaryota; Metazoa; Chordata; Mammalia; Carnivora; Ursidae
Source: Ensembl
CUCAUUUUGAUAGCAUGUAGACUAAGAACUGGAGUGAUACAGAGAAUAUUAGCAGAGUCGCUGUGCAAAUAUGACACGCAAAGUCAGGCAGCAUUCCACGUUCAA